CCUGCCCAGCAGCGCCACUGGACCCUAGGUGAGAAAUCCACCCAGCUAUCCCAAACGUAGGGAGGCUGGGUGAAUUUAAAUGUAAAAAAAAUAUUAAUAAUAAUUGUGAGUGUGGGGAAAUGUGUGUGUCAGUGAAUGUGAGUGAGUGAGUGUGUGUCAGUGAAUGUGAGUGAGUGUGUGUUAGUGAAUGUAAGUGUGUGUGUGUCAGUGAAUGUGAGUGUGUGUGUGUGUCAGUGAAUGUGAGUAUGUGUGUGUCAGUGAAUGUGAGUGUGUGUGUCUGUGAAUUUGAGUGAGUGUGUGUCAGUGAGUGUAUGUGUGUUAGUGAAUGUGAGUGUGUGUCAGUGAAUGUGAGUGUGUGUCUGAAUGUGAGUGUGUGUGUCAGUGAAUGUGAGUGUGUGUCUGUCAGUGAAUGUGUGUGUGUGUGUGUCAGUCAGUGAGUGCGUGCGUCUGUCAGUGAGUGUGUGUCCGAGUAAGUGUAUGUCUGUCUAUCAGUGUGUCAAAUCAAUGAGUGUGUGUAUGUCGUUCUUUGUCAGUGUAUAUGAGAGUGUGUGUCUGUCAAUGAGUGUAUUCAUCUAUCAGUGAGUGUGUGCGUCUGCCAGUCAAAGUGCGGCCUUGACGGGAAGGGGUGGGGAAAAUUUAAAUUGGGUAGGGCGGGGAGGAGGUGGAGCCCGAGCACCGUCCUGCCUAGGGCAGCACAAAUUCUAAAUACACCACUUGUGUGUGUGUGUGUCUGUCUGUCUAUAUGUAUGCCUGUCUGUAUGUGUGUGUGUCUGUCUGUGUCUGCCUGUGUGUGUGUGUUUGUGUCUUUGUAUGUGUGUGUCUGUCUGUGUGCCUGUAGGUGUGUGUGUGUCUGUCUGUAUGUAUGUGUCUGUAUGUGUGCCUGUCUGUUUGUAUGUAUGUGUCUUUGUGUGUCUGUCUGUUUAUAUAUAUAUAUAUAUAUAUAUAUAUGUGUGUGUGUGCCUGUCUGUAUGUAUGUGUUUGUCUGUGUGUAUGUAUCUGUCUGUCUGUAUGUGUCUAUGUGUGUGUGUGUGUCUCUAUGCAUGUAUGUGUGUGUGUGUCUGUCGGGAGUGGUGGGGAGUGUGGGGAAUAGGGAGGGUUGGGCCAACGGAUUGUGUGUACGCCACUGUUGGGGACCUGGCUUGGCAUAUGUUUAAUGGGCAUAUACGCUGACUGUGGCAUGUUCUGUUCGGCAAAGUGACACUGUUCUGUGUCUGCACUUUAUUACUCCCUUUUUUUUAUAUAUACACAAGUACUCCUCACUUAACGACCCGGUUGUAGAACAAAUUGGUCGGUAGGUGAGGAGUUAAGGGAUUCCCUGCUCUUGUGCGUUUGUCUAUGUUCGGGGAAAUUUCCCUGAACAUAGAUGAAUGUAGCAGAGCAUGGAAUCCCUCUAGUCCCCAUGACAGCUCGUACUUACCACCCCACUAAAGAGAGCUGGUCGUAAGUGCGAGCCGUCGUAAAACAGGUUGGUCGCCAAAUGAGGACCACCUGUAUAUUAUACCUUGUGGUGUGCUGGGAAGAGCUUUAGUGUGCCUUGGGUGAGAAAAUGCAGAGGAAUACUGCUAUAAUCCCAUCACACCCAGCCCAAUAACAUUACUCAUCCUAUAAUCUCCUCAUCACUCCCAGGUCCAAUCACUUUACCUCAUCACAAAAUCCCAUCAAUCUGGGUCCCAAUCACAAAACCACAUCCUAUAAUACCAGCAACGCAAAACAAUCCCAAAUUCCUGCAAGAAACAUGAAACACAUUCAUUUAUAGAUAUCUGUUUAAAGGGCCACACAUCCAUAGAGAGCAUUUAAAAGUGAUACACAUUAAUGGUGACACUUCAAUGGUCCUUCAACAUACAUACACAGCGUGCACAGACAGUUUUAAAAUGCCGCCUGGUGGCAAUCUGUGAACCAUCUCCAACAAAUAAAUAAAUAGUUAAAAAAUAUAAAUAAAAUGCAGGAUGAGCACUCCUAAUAUUGUUCCCCUAAUUUUUAUGUUAUUCUGUGUUUGCACUGAGGCUGAAAUCAUUUCCUAUUUUUUUUUUUUUUUGUAAUACAUUUCCUUUUUAUUAAUUAAUUAUACAAACAAAUACAUCAUAUAUAUCAAUACAGCACCAUAUCAAAUAUACAUAAUUGCAUUGCAUUGCUAAUUUCCUAUUUUAAUGUGCCCCUGCCUGGCCGAUGCUAGUACUACCCCAGUGAUACCCCACACCAACCCCAGUCAUACCUGUCCUUCUCCGAUCUCUUCUCUCUGUCUGCAGUCUGUCUCCUGUCUCUGUCGGUUUCUUUUAUAUUUUGCCCCAAACAUUCUCCUCCCACUGCCCCUCUUUUACUUUUUCCCUAAAUCCCUCCCCCUCUCAACUUGUAAGUAUUGUGAAUAAAAUACAGAAUUACAGAAUUCAGGAUUAAAGAGCCAAGCUAGACUGCUAGCUCAGUUAUUUUUUAAGGGUGAGGUCUGGUAUGCCCAUCUCUAAUUACUGCCCCACAACAUACCCAGACUACUCUACAUUCCCUCAGGUACACACUAACAAGAUGCACACUGAGGGCAUCCCUUGGGCACAUACACAGAACAUGAUGCACACUGAGGGCAUCUCCUGGGCACAUACACAGAACAUGAUGCAUACUGAAGGCAUCCCCUGGGCACACACACAGUAACACAAUGCACACUGAGGGCAUCCCCUGGGCACACACAGUAACACGAUGCAUUCUCUGUGUCUACACAAUGACACUAUUUCAAGGCAAGCACACAACGAAUAUCACUUACCGAGUACACAGAGCGAGAACCAAGUAUAUACAGCAGUUACAGCCGAGUACACCAUGGACACAGUGAGAACAAAUUAAGAGAGUAUCCCGUGCACACAAUGAUUACCCAUUAACUCAUUAUGGACUAAUGCCAUUCUCCAUGGCAUGACUUGGCAGCUUGACACAGCUCGGACUUUAUGCACUGGUAUACAUUAUGUAAGUCCAGUACUUCCAGAAGUCAGGAAGAUGUUUUGUGAAAAAGGGAGACAUGGCUUCGGGGGUGGGGUUAUGCUACAGUGAGUACGUUUUUAUUUUUAACCAAAACUACAGAGAUUUAUACGUGUCGAAAAAUACAUUAUUAGGGUUAUUCCCUAAAGUGUGAAUUUAAAGUUUAGUAGAAAACUGGAAGCAGUCCAAAUUUUCCAAAUUGCCUCUUUUGGCCUUAAAUUAGAAAUUUACUUUGAAUUCUCACUUUAGUGAAUAUAGUAUGGCUAUAAGGCCACAGCAUAUCUAAGGCUCUUAAAGGACAACUGUCACCUCAAAACAAUUUAAUAUAUAAUAAUCCUUUCAUAAAGUUUUGCUAAACAAUGCUGAACAGUCACAGCAAGCAUUUGCUCCUCUACAAUCUCAACAUAUAAGCUUCUAAAAUGCUAUUUUAAGCAGAAUAUGUAUUCCUUAUACUAUAGGUUUAAACAGCUGUGUAGUCCAUCAGACCCCCCCUUAUCUCUGCUUAAAAUGGUGAUUUACCUUUUUACAGCGCUGCACGGGUCUGGUCACAGAUGGCCCACCCUUGCUCCACCCCCUUGGCUGAGAUUAUCACACAUAGGAACGCAUUUGGAAGCUUUCAAGCAUGCGCUGCAAAACAUCGGCUGUGCCAAUCAGCAUCUUCUCAUAGAAAUGCAUUGACCCAGUGUAUUUCUAUGGGGCACGUUCAGCGUCUCCAUGCAGAGCUUGGAGACGCUGAACGUAAUUUCUGCACUUUGUGCACCACUGACCCAGGAAGCACCUCUAGUGGCCGUCUCUGAAAAGGCAGUGUUUACAUUAAAAAGCCUGCAGGGACUGACUAUACUCACCAGAAGAAAAAAACAUUAAGCUGUUGUUGUUCUGGUGAUUAUAGUGUCCCUUUAAGCUUCUCUAUACCAGUGUCACUGCUCAUCGGGCAACCGAGUUGCAAGCUGAAGUUCCUCUGUCUGGACCGUUGGGGCUAAUCCUGGUCCCCACCAAGAAAGAUCUUUCUUACCUACUCUUGGGCAUACUCAAACACGCCAGCUCCCACACAUACAAAAUGGCUGAUUCCUAUGUCUCUGUUAAGCUCCCAGAGAAGUAGAAUAGACAGCAGUGUGACAAAAGCUUUUGUGAGAUAUUUGAUGCCUGCAUGCAAUUCUGGAAGAUUGAAUCAACCCAGUCCAAUUGUUGCAGUUUGUGCCAAACUACUACUCAACAGCGGGCCUUGGUUCCGUAACCCCUUCCUGGGCAAGGAGCCACAAGGGAGUUUCCAUCCAAACACUGUCCACAUACCUGGGAGAUCCACCAUUGUCCAGGAGUUUCUCAGAACCAUGCCCUGGUUAUAGGGUGCGUGGCUCAUCGACAUAAGGUGCUGGCUCCUAAUAAAGCCAAGGGCUGGAACAUAGCUGCUCACGAGCAAUAUGGAAGGUACCUGGAGGAGGGCUCCUACUAUACCCCGCAUCUAUCUGGGAACUAUUAGACACUUUCUUCAAGCACAGGAAUAUGGUGAAUAGGCUGACUCUGCACGGACUCAUAACUAGGAUGGGCUGUCUGGCUAUGGCUCUCUACCAAUAUCCAACUAAACAGUUAAUUUUCAUUACUUUCUUUACUGUUAUUUACUUAUAUCUUAGUUUAUUUGCAGAUGGGCAAAUCGCAGUAUAUAUUUGCAGCCCAGCACUCUAUCUACUUGGUGGGUCUAUCACUCUAAUACCUAGCUUAAUAGAACGCAAAUCUUGUUAUUGUACUAAAACAGCAAAAUUAGGUAUCACUUAUGUUUCUGUUUUAUGAGAAGUUACAUAUGUUACUACUGGUAACACCUUCGUUUCUGUAUUCUGUACAAAUACUUCAAUAAAAAAGUAAAUGACAGAAAAAUGAUGUAUGUAUAAAAAUAUUUUUUAGAAAAACUCACCCUUUAGUAAUUGCUGCUCCAACCUACUUUUCCUCCCUAAUACACAUAUGUGUCACACCUUGACCCCUGCACUCUGCCCAGACCGUCGCCUGUCCUUUGCUCGUACACCUCUGAUGCUCGUCUUCAAGACUUCUCCAGGGCUCCACCGUUCCUGUGGAACUCCUUUCCUUUCUCCGUUAGACUUUCACCCAGUCUCCAUUCCAUUAAUUAGACUGUUAACAGCUUUCCCUCCCUGCACCGUCUCCUCUCCUGCAACUGUCAAAUAUAAUCUGCUAAACCCUCAGUGAUUACUUUUCUAGCAACCUACAUUUCUACCCCUACCUUUACCCUUUGUGUCAUUAUACCCCACUCCCUCUAGCAUGUAAGCUCAUUGAGCAGGGCCGUCAACCCCUCUGUCCCUGUGCGUCCAACUUGUCCGGUUACAACUAAAUGUCUCUUAGUCCACCCAUUGUGCAGCGCUACGGAAUUUGCUGCUGCUUUAUAAAUAAUAAUAAUAUGACAGGAUCCGUCUGCAAUAUAUAUACCUGUGAACUGACAGUUAGUCUCUAUAGUCUUCUCUGCUUCUGUCAGUUUUCUUUUUUAUAUGAAAAAAUAGUUUUGAGAUGACAGUUGCCUCUUAAGUUGUUUUGGCUAUUUACUUUUAUCGCUUUUAAAGUGGUAAUAAUUGCAGUCAUUGGAGAGAAUCCCGAAAGGGUUGACAUUAACCAAUUUAAAAAAAAUUCUGCAAUAAAUUAUAAUGUGUUCUGUUAUUUAUAUAGUAAAAUGUAAGUGUUCAUAACACUUUGCAUAUAGUCUCAAUUCAAUGCAUCUCUAAUUUCAUAUGUAUGUUGUUGUUGUUCAAAUAUCUUCUGAUGUAUUGUAAAUAUACUUAUGGUAAAAUGUCCUAUGUUUGGAGCUGCUGAACAUCCAAUCCUUUUAGAUAACUAAGUACAAAUAUCGCUGCCACAUACAAGAUGGCUGAUUCCUGUGUCUCUGCUAAGCUCCCAGAGAAGUAGAAUAGACAGCAGUGUGACAAAAGCUUUUGUGAGGCAUCUGAUGCCUGCAUGCAAUUCUGGAAGAUUGAAUCAACUUAGUCCAACUGUUGCAGUUUGUGCCAAACUGCUACUCAACAGCGGGCCUCGGUUCCGUAACCCCUUCCUGGGCAAGGAGCCACAAGGGAGUUUCCAUCGGAACACAGUCCAUAUACCUGGCAGAUCCACCAUUGUCCAGUAGUUUUUUAGAGCUAUGCCCUGGUUACAGGGUGCAUGGUUCAUCGACAUAAGGUGCUGGCUCCUAUUAAAGCCAAGGGCUGGAACUGUCCCACUGUCUGCAAAACUUAGUUAAAUGAACUCUCUAUAUAUAUUAGGUAUACAAAACAGUAUUCUUGACAUUAUAGUGUUCCUGCCUCUAGUCAGAAAUAGAUCAUCUUCAGUUCAUAAUAAUAAAAAAAAAAAUAAUAAUAAUAAAGCUUUACUUACCUCUUUGCCUCCUGUGACAUCACGGAGGAGACAUGGCAUUGGGGACAUAACGCGCAUGUGUGUGGGGAGUGCUCCACUUACAUUCAAACUUCUCCAUAGGAAAACAUUGAUUCAGUUGCAUUUCUACAGGGGCUUCGGCAUCACGAGUCAUACUGACUGCCACUAGAGGUAGGCUUAACCCUGCAAUGUAAGUAUUGCAGUUUUUAAAUAAAGGACAUGGGCCCUGCACCCAGAUCACGUCACUGAGUUGAAGUGGUCUACGUGACUAUAGCGUAUCUUUAAGUUUAUAGAUUCAUUCAUUUAUAAGAGAAGCCUCUGUGUUUUGUAAUGUGGGUUUAGCACUUUGAGAGAAAAGCAAGAUUUAAAAAAAAAAAAAAAGUGUGUACAGUUGGUUCGAAAGGAAUGUGUGAAGCGUACGUAAGGCCCCAAUUUAAUUUUUAACACAUAAAUAUUUCAUGAAUGAGGGGGUUGACCUGACACACUUUUCAUGGUUCAUUUGAAGAUCCAUCCAUCCAUCACAGUUGUGCCACACAUGAAAAAAGAAAACAACUUGACUCCAAAAGUGUGGUCAAAUGUCUCCUUGGAUAAUUACGCCGAUAGAAAACUUUUACAGCCUUUAAUAUUCUGCUUUCCAAAACAGCAUCCGAACCUGUUUAAACCAUCACUUAGCUGGCAAGCACAGAGAGAGAUGUAAGACCUGUACAAUUCAACCCAAAAGGCUCUUUUUCUGCAAUAUUAAAACUCUGUUUCUAGGCACCAUUUAUAUAUAAAAGCAAGUGGGAAAAGCAAGUCUUAUGGCUUGACUGGUGAGCAGAUUUUUGUUUAACAUUGUAUUAACUAUCCACAGACUUCAGGUGGAAGGGGUUUUCAAUCACAAUUUUUCCCCACCAUAACCUUUUUGGUUUUUGCUUCCCAAGCACUACCAAGCCUCAAUAAGCAAGCCAGUAACCAACCUCAAGCUGAAGAGUUGCAUUAACAACGAAACAGCUGUCAGCUAUAUCAAGAGAUGCCACGGUGGGCUUGCUUCAGGCCUACCUUGAGUCGCAUGGAGCCAGCUCCCGCAACUGCUUCUUAGUGACCUGCAUGUAUGGAGUUCCUUUUUGGGAAACUAUAAUGGUCACUUGUGUUGGUUCUGGGAAGCGACGUCCAACUUGAAGUUAGAUCUUUUCACGAAUAUGUCAGGUUCUGUUGUGUUUGGUGCAUAUUUUCAGGGCCAGUGGAGUGUUGAAGAGUGGCCAGCCAGCUGGCGGAAUACGGAGCUAAUACGAAAUCUUAUGUUCUUGGAGUUGUUUCAAAUUGUAGUUUUGGGGUGAUGAACUUUUGAAAUCAUACUGUUGUUUUGCACAUGGACAACAUGAGCAUUGUUCAUUUGAUCAGACAGUCUUCUUUGGCUUUCCCUCCGGUUUUGGUGUUGCUGUGGCGGUUGGUUUUGUUGAGUUUGCAGUUUAAUGUAUAGAUCAAAGCUUGUCAUGUUCCUGGCUUCUUAAAUGUGGUGGCUGACUUUCUUUCUCGGUUUCAGUGGGCCCAUUUUCGGGAGUCGGUUUGAGGUGACAUUAUUGUUUUUAUCGGAUGUGAGGUGGUCCAAAUUAUCUGUGGAUAGUUUGGUUUGCUGUUCAAAGACAGACCGGUUAGGAAAAGGUUUGAGGGUCUACCGGGGCUAGGUUUUGUCCUGUUCAGAUGUUUUUUUUUUUUUAUUUGACAAAUUUUUAUUUUUCAUUGUCGGUAAAUAUAGACAUAGGUAAAAUAGGGAUACAGAAGAAAAGGAGGGAAUAGGAACAUUUAACAUCAUAUUUGUCUGACCCCAAAUUAACAAUGUACAUCGCCAGAUCUAGUUAUGCAGGCAUCAAGUACAAUUAAACAGUUUAACAUUGUAUUCAUAUAUGUUAAUUCAGUUCCUGCUUACUGAAGGUAUCGUGUGUACCAUUUUAAUUACAAUGUACAUGCGUAGUAAUGGUGGUGCCAGCGACAUGUCACGGUAAGUCUGUUCUUUCCAAUAGGGGGGCUUGGAGUGCUAGUUAUGUGAAAAAAGGGGAAAAAAACUGUUUGGGGGGGUGGAGGAAAAAACAAGGGGGAAAGAGGAAUUUGGUUAGUUUGGUCGCAGAAUUUGUGAUCGAUUUUGUCUAGAUUGUGAUGCACUUAGGUUUGAUUAUGAGGUUGUGGGAAUGCUUGUAUGAUGCUUAGUCUUCAACUCCCAUUUAUUCCAUGCCAGAGCCCAGAAGUUUUUCUUUGUUUGCGCUUUCCUUGCUGCUGUUUCAUACCGUUUGGUAGUUUCUACCACCUCUAUACAUGUUUGUAUACAGGGGGGUGUAUCAUUCAGCCAGUUCCUACUUAUGGCUGUUAAGGCAAUAAUAAUAUGGUAUGCCAGAUAUUCGUUCGGUUUCUGUAGUGUUUUGGGCCAUAUGAGUAACAGAUAAGAUAGUGGAGUGUGCGGUAACUUUACGCCUGUGGUGUCCUCUAUGAGGCUUGAGACGUCUAACCAGAGUUUUGUCAGUUUCAUGCAUCCCCACCAGAUAUGGGUCAUAGACCCAGGCUCCACGCCACAUCGCCAGCAUACAUCUGGUUUGGUAGAAUCUAUCCUAUGCAGCUUUGAGGGCACCAUAUACCACCGAUAUAGGAGCUUCCUGCUUAUUUCUAUGUGUGCUGUGUUUAAUGUGAGCGUUUUAUGUGCUCUCUGUGUCUGAAGCCAUUCUUCAGGCGUCAGUGUGUGGUCCAGUUCCCUUUCCCAUGUUUUAAUAAAGUUGAGUUUUUCUGUGGUUGUGCUGUGUUCAAGCAAUCUAUAUAGAGUGGACAGUAGUCGUGGUGGUGGUUUGCCCGCCAUACAUAAGAUUUCUAUCUCGUUAAGUACAUAGCCCCGUGUCUGGGAGUUGUCAUAGUGUUUGGUUACCAAUGAUUUCAAUUGUAGGUACGAGAAGAAGAGUGUGGAGGGUAGAUUGUAUUUGUUACAUAGCGAAUCAUAAUCGCUUGUAUGUCCGUUUGUUAGUAUCUGUGAUAUGUAGGACACUCCAAGGGAGUUCCAGGUUUUAUAGUCAAAUCCUGGGAUCAAAACAUUUAGUGCCCGGAGUUGAAGGUUUUGGGAGAAUUGCGCCUUUUUGUUUUGUUUUUUGACCAGAUUGUCCCAUAUUUUGAGUGUAGCUAUUGUGGUUGGGCAUAUGUUUUUAUAGUGUGGCCUUUUGUCCACAGGUAUCCAGGCUAGGGCGUGUAGCGGCAUUCCCUCGGUGUAUGCCGCUUCUAUUUAGUUCCAUGCAAGUGGCGUUUUGUGGUGGUGUAUGUUUACAAGUGUGCUUAUCAUAGCUGCCUCAUAGUAUCUUGAGAUGUUUGGGACCCCCAUUCCGCCAAGUCUGAAGGGUUUGUAUAGAAUCUCUGCUGCUGUUCUGGCUUUUUUCCCACCCCAUAUAAAUUUAUUUAGAGAGCGCUGGGCGUCCAUGAGAAAUAGUUUUGGGAGAGCUAUCUGUAGGGUUCUGAAAAGGUAUUGUAGACGUGGCAAUACCAUCAUUUUUGCCGCUGUGAUUCUGCCCAUCCACGACACGUAUUUCCCCUUCCAGCCCUGUAUUUGAUUUUUUAUCUCCCGGAGCAGCUUCUCAUAGUUGGCCUGGUACAGUUUACGCGUGGUUGGCGUGAGUGAUAUGCCUAGAAAAGUGAGGUGGUCGCGUCUCCAGUCAUAUGUGUAUUUACUCUGUAAAUUUUGGAGCCUUGGGAUUUGUAUGUUGAAGCUCAUGGCCUGGGUCUUAGUGACAUUUAGUUUGUAGUAUGAGCAAUUGCUAAAUUGUUGUAUUACUGUCUGUAAUGUUGGUAGUGAUAUCUCAGGUUUGGUUAGGGUCAGCAUCACAUCAUCAGCAAACAGCGUGAUUUUGUGCGUUACAUUGCCAAUUGUUAUCCCGUGUAUGUUUUGGUUUUCUCUGAUGUGUUGAGCUAGUGGUUCCAGAGCUAGAAUAUAUAACAGGGGUAACAGUGGACAUCCCUGUCGGGAUCCGUUCGAUAUUCGGAAUUGUCUGGAAGCGAAGCCUCCAUUUAUCACCUUCGCAGUUGGUUCGUUGUAUAAGGCCGAGACUAAUGUGAGAAAGCGUUGUGGGAAGUGAUAUUUCUGAAGUACGGCUUCAAGGUAUCCCCAGUGCAGCCUGUCAAAUGCUUUCUCAGCAUCUAGUGACAGGACUACGCUAGGUUCCCGGGUUUGUUGGAUGGUGUGGAUGAGGUCAAUUAGUUUUCUGGUGCCGUCGGAGCCCUGUCUGCCCCUGACGAAUCCCACCUGAUCGUUUUUUAUUAGAAAUGGUAAAAAAUUCCCCAAUCUAGUUGCAUAUAUUUUUGCCAUUAUUUUUAGGUCUGUGUUCAAUAAUGAAAUUGGGCGUAAGUUUUGGCAUUUGUGUGGUGGCUUACCAGGUUUGGGUAGUGUUGUUAUAUGUGCAAUCAACAUCUCUUGGGGAGGGAUUCCAGUGGAUAGGAUAUGAUUGUAUAAGUUCACUAGGUGAGGUGCCAGCGUGUGGGAAAAAGUCUUAUAAUAUAGGUUCGUAAACCCAUCUGGACCUGGGGAUUUCCCUUUAGGGAGCAUUUUUAUCGUCUGUUGUAUUUCACUAAGUGUGAUGGGUUUUUCCAGUUCUAGUUUGUUAUGCAAUGUUAGGUUAGUUAGCUGUACUUCCCUUAAGAAGUCCGCUAUGUUAGAUGUGAGAGGCUGGUGUGUGUUGCCGUCGUUUUUUAGAUUAUAUAACCCUUCGUAAUAGUCCGCCAUCAUAUUAUUUAUGUCCUGUGGGUUAUAGAUUUUGUUUCCCUGCUCGUUGAAGAGGAAGGGUAUUUUGGCAUUCAGUUGUUUCUGUCGGAGUGUUGAUGCCAGUGCCAUCCCUGCCUUAUUUCCUUGUGUAUAUGAGAUGAGUUUUAGUCUAUGCAUGAUGUUCAUUGUCUUUAGUAUAUGUGUGUCAUUGAUUUGUUUCUGUAUGUGUUGUAUGUGUUGUUGUCUGUCCGGUGAUGGCUGUGAGAUUUGGGCUCUAGUUUCAUCUCUAAGGGAUCUAAGUAGGUGUACGUACUCUUGAUUUGACUUGCGCUUGAGAUAGGAUGCUCUACUUAUGAGAUGUCCACGUAUAACUGCCUUAUGAGCUUGCCACACAGUGGCAGGUGAGAUAUCAGGAGUGUUGUUUUGUGAAAAGUAUGAUAUUAUUUCUGAGUUUAGCUUGUGGCUAAAUUCCGGAUUUUGUAAAAGAGUGUCAUUUAAACGCCAGGGUGUUGUUCCUCGGAAAGCAAAAUUAUCUUUGAUUGUUAGCCCGACAGCAGCGUGGUCCGACCAGGUUAUAUCGCCUAUAUCGCUAUGGGUUGCGUGUGGUAGUAAGUCACCAGUGAUUAGUAUGUAGUCAAUCCUAGAGUAUGUAUGAUGGACAGACGAGUAGAAUGUGAAUUCCCGGUCAGCUGGGUGUUGGGUCCUCCAGAUGUCAUAGAGUCCAUACUCUGUUGUCUGUUUACAUAUGUUUUUAUAUCUAGGUGAUGUAUGUGGUAAGGUGGUGUCUAAUUUGGGCUGUAGUACGUGGUUGACGUCUCCGCAUAUAAUUUGGCGAAUGUGGGUCAUAUUCGGCAGUUUCGCUAAUAUCUUGUGGAGAAAAUUUUUCUGAUUAUCGUUUGGCCCGUAAAAACUCGCUAUGAGAUAUUGUAUGUUGUUUAUGUUGCAAUGCAGUAUGAUAUACCUGCCCUGUGUAUCUCUUUUUAGUUGUAGGAGUUCAAAUGUUAGAGAUUUAUAGAUGAGUAUGGAGACUCCCCUAGAUUUGGAGGAGUAUGUUGAAUGAUAUUGUGUUGGGUAAUCCCUGUAGGCGAAUGUAGGGACUCUGUUGUGUACAAAGUGCGUCUCUUGCACACAGAGUAUAUCCGUUUUGUACUUUUGUGCUUCUUCCAGCAGUAGUCUGCGUUUAUGCGUUGUAUUUAACCCGCGGGUGUUAAUUGAUUGUACCUUCAUCUACUAAGUACGGAUGUGGGAUGAUUGCUAGGCAUUGAAGCAUGCGAUUUACUGGUUUAUUGUUUAUGGCAGGAUGUGGUGUCAUGAGAAUUUGCGCUAGUGAGGUAAAGAUUGUGUGAUAUUGCAAUGUUAUAAUAUGGAGUCCCAUUUUUCGUUGCAUGUUAUAUCUUGUGCGUGCGCUAUCUAGUGCUGCGUUGGCAUAGAUGUGUCUUAUGUUUUUGGUUGAUCUAAUAGGGGUAUUGACAAGGGGUUUAAAACUUGGUGGGGGAGGGAUAACUAUGUACAUUAUGUCUCUUUGCGAGACAAGGUGUGGAAUUGCCACACCAUGGGGGUUGGAGUUGGUUUUUAUCUCCAUCAACAUGGUCCAUGGGCUGUGUUUAGAAGUCACUGCAUGAUGCGCUAUGUGUGGUUUGGUCAUAUAUAGCUGAGUAGUACAAUUAUGGAGUCGGGUCUCUACCCACAUGUGCCUUUCACUGUGAGCCCCCGCAGGGUAUCCACGUUCGGGGCAGAGAGCGGUCGCAUCAGGUUUGUCGCCCACCGGCCCUAUGAGGGCGCCUCUACUCUUUGGGCAUACUUAUCGUCAGUUUGGGAGUCACGGAAGUUGUCGUCCUGUUGUAGACCGCUGUGUGUGUAGCUGAGUCAUAGCUAGUCAGUGUGUUACGGCGUCCCUAUACUCGCCGUUCGGGAAGGGGUCAGUCAGAGGGGACGUUCCUCACUAGUAGUGAGUCCACGUUAGGUCAUGUCAAUGUCUAUAGAGAGUGUAUCUCUACCUUAAAACCUAAACAUUUUCAUAUCAAAUGGCAUGUUACAUUACAUCUCCCCAGUUCCUCCCCCCCCCUCCUGGUUAAUUCACAUUACUACUUUGAAAAAUCUAAAUAUGAAAAUGAAGCCCAGUUUAAGAGAAAAAGUAAGGGAGAAUCAGAAAUAAAUCCAAGUCUCUCAAUCUGUAUGUCUCUGUGGGUCCCCAUGUAACCCGUCACGGUGCCCGGACCUCCAUGUGGGGGUGCCUGAAGUAGUGUUAUUUGCUUACCCAAGAUGGUCCCCCAUCAGAGGCGCAGCCCCGGACCCGGGUCCCCCGCAUCGGUUCCGCUGCUCUGCAUUGCUUCGUCACAGGGGAUGUUGGGAGCUCCGGAUCCAAGGGUCCACCAGACCCGCACAGAAGCCGUUCCCAGCCAGAGGUGCAGCCCCAGACCCGGCCCUCCCGCACCGGCAACCCUGCUCUGCACCGCUUCGUCGCAGGGGGGUGGCGGAAGUCCCGGAUCCGGCGGCCCGCAACACUCAGCGGGCUCGACUAGUCCUGGACCCGGCCAAAGCAGGUUCGUGGUUAUGUUAAGGAGAGUAUUUCUUUAUAGGUCGCAUUCGUUAUGGGUGUGAGUUACAUAGAGUAGUACGUCCAAUUUUGCCGGUAGACCAGGGAUCGUCCUGGAUUAAUGUUUCUUUUGGUUCAUUGUCCAUUCGGUUUUAAGUUUCCUGUUUGUCUUUGGUAUGUUCUGGGGGUCAGGUGUUAGUUGUAUGUCCCAGCCUUGUAAUUUCUGUUCGCCAUCUUCUGGUGUUUGUAUCACUGUUGUUUUACCUUCUUUUGUUAUGAUGAGUUUAGUGGGGAAACCCCACUUAUAGUGAAUGCCCUGUGCUCUCAGUGCUCCUGUUAUCUGGGAAAACUCCUUCCUUCUCCGGAGUGUGGCUGCAGAGAGAUCCGCGUAUAUCCGAACCGCGGCAUAUUCCUCCGGCGGCCUGGCUCGUGUUUUGCAGCUUCUGAGUAUAUGCUCUUUAACAUGGAAAUAGUGAGCUCUCAGUAAUAUAUCUCUUGGGACCGUAGGGGGGAGAUGGCGCGGUUUUGGGAUGCGGUGCAUCCUAUCUAUCAACAGCAUAUCCGUCGGUAUCUCGGGUGCAUGGGCUUUCAAGCAGCCUCUAAUGUAGGAAGGCAAGUUAUCGUUGGUGAUUUCUUUAGGGAUUCCCCUUAGUCGGAGGUUGUUCCGGUGGGAACGGUCCUCUAUAUCCGUUAGUUUUUCUUCCAUGUUCUUUAGUUGUGUGGAUAGUUGUUCCACAUUGGUGGCUAAGUCAUUGUGCGCUGUAGCAAAGUCGUCAUAUGUAUCCUCCAUGUUUGUUGUCCUCCUCCCCAGUUCCUGGAUAUCUUUUUUCAAAGAAUCUGCGGUAUGUUGCCAUGUGGUUAUCAGCUUGUUUGAUAGUAUCUCCAGAGCAGCUGAAAGAUCUGCCUUUGUGAUUUGUGUGUCGUUUGUUUGCGUGCUGGGUCUUGAGCACUGUUUGCCGUCGUCGGAUUCCGGGUCCUCGGUGUCAAUUGAGGCCUGUUCCGCCGGAGCUGCAGACGUCGUUUUCUGACUGAAAAAAUUAAGUUUUUCGGGUUUCGCUGAACCCCUUUUGUUUUUAUGUUGUGACAUCCUUGUUGAGGGUCGCUGGAUGCAGUUUCUGCUAUUAGGAUUAUCGCGGAUUAGGUGUCCAUAUGGCAGAGCAGAUUUCUAUGCGGCCAUCUUGCUCCGCGUAGGCCACGCCCUCCCGUUCAGAUGUUUAAUAAGCAUUUGGGUCUUCAGUCGGGAUUCCCUUCUAGCUCAUCGGUCUUCUCUUACGCCUUAUCAAUUUUCUGCUAUGUUGGGAGGUUCAUUGGUAGCAUGUGGUGUGGAUUCUUGGGAUUACUCGGCGUACUCUUUUUGUAUUAGGACUACCACACAGUCUAGUUUGCUAAAUUAUAUGUCCCUUUAUUACUCCUAUCUCCUCGAUGCUGAAUAUUUAUCAUACCUUUUCGCUACUGAACAAUCAGACCGUUCCAUUAUCCGCGAUUUAGACGACGCAUAGUACGAUUCACGACACUGUGGUUGAUCAGGAGCCUUUGAUAUGCCGCUUUCUGCGCUGUAUCAAACUGUCCAGAACCAUGUGUCAAAGUAUCACUGUUGUGGGACUUUGAUUUAUUUCUUUUGGAACUAGUCAGAAAACACGGACCUAUCCCUCCUUCAGCCAUAGUCACGUUACUUUUCGGUCUUUUCGUCGGGUAUCAGAUGUACUGGAGUUUGACGUAGACGGUCUUUUCGGUAUCACCGGAAGGAAUGAUUUCUACGGUGUCUCAUAGAACUAAAUGUUAUCCGCGUCCGUAUCUUACCCUGUUCCCGGUGGUUUCCCAGUCUUUGUGCAGUUAAAGCGGUACUUCGUUACAUGGAGAUCACGACAACACUUAGAUUGUCACAUUCAGGACAUCUGCUGGUCUUAUACCAACCAUACAAGCCAGUUACCAUGAACACUCUGUCUAGAUGGGUUCAUUGGUUGUUAUCGCUAGCAGGGGUGGUGACGUGUUUUGGGUACUCAUUCGGUACAAGGCGCGGCUGCUUCUCAGGCCUUCACGGGGGGCCUCUAUAUUUUACAGCGACGAAUUGGACACGGAUAGACUUCUUCCGUAUAUUUAUUUUCGUCAACCACACACGCAUCCUUCUCGCUCAUACCACAGCUUUAAAAAUGCAAAAUAUAAAGCCUGUCAUGUGAUAAUAUUGUGGAUUAUGCUAACAUAGUGUACCUAUAAUCUUCAUUUUAAUAAUGACAGGAGGUAAAUAUUUUCCCUCCCUGUUUCCCUCCCUAUACUCUGGAAAAUUCUAAUAUUCUGGUUUGUCAUUUUCUCAGUGUAAUAAUAAGGUUUUGGUAUUUCAGUAUAUUUAUGGGAUGCUUAUCUGGUUGGCAUGUGUUAGAUCCGUGUUGAUUACUAAGUAUACUAUGGUUGUUUAAUGGUUCAGUAUAUUAACUUAAUGUAAAUCUAGUGUGAUCUUUGUCUGCAGGUAGCACAGUCCUCUAGGGCAAAAACAUGCACAGUCUUUCAAUGCAACUUCAUUCCAGGCACUUUAUUUGUAAGUUUACAUGUGAGGCAGCAGCAAAUGAAAACAUAAAUAUAACAGGUUUCCCAUUAAACAAAAACCUAGCUCGUCUGAGCACUGACUCACUUUGUAUAUCCCUCUCUAUCAGGGUUAAACUAACAAAAACAUAUUGCACCAACCUUAUUAGAUAGCAACACUCUGCUAGCUAGCCUGUUGCUUUCCUUUCUGCACUCCUAGUGCUCCAAGCCAGCCUUGACUGCUUCCUCCUGCACUCCCAGUGCUCCAAGCCAGCCUUGACUGCUUCCUUUCUGCACUCCCAGUGCCUAGUCUCCUUGACUCUCUAUCUGGAGAGAACAGCCUCUCUCCUACCUGCUUCCUGGGAGGAAGCCAGCAAUCCCUCUCCUUUUCCUGCCUAGCCGGGAGGGGUUUAUUCCCACUGCAACAGCUCAUUAACUGCAGCUGAGCAGUGGGUUGGAGACGGUCCAAAAAACCCUGGCCUGGAUCUAUGUCUCCCCAGAAAACCACUAAACUGUGGAGUGGAGCAUUGGCCCACCCUUCUCUCCAAAUGCUCCACCCCAGGGGCCCAUAACUAAACAAUGCUUUGUGUUGUGCAACACACAAACUACACGUACUUCCCCUUGGGUUAAAAGGCCUAUCUGCCUUCACUUUAUCACAAUAGAUACGUAUAGUACUGGAUUUAAUGUGGGCAACAGUUGGUUUCCAUCACCUUUCACGUAUUUCUGUUCUUUUCAGUGUAAUCAUCAUAGAUGGAUUCGACAAGAUAAAGCUGGAAGGUUUCAAGUUUUGUUUCCAGUUAUGUUCUACACGUUACUCAGGACUGUUAUUUGAAUUCCCUGACGUUAUAAUAGACUGUUUCCUCAUCAAAGAAAGAGCAAGUCAUGUGUCUGUCAGGGCUUUAUAUAUGGAUGUGAUGCCUGUUACUGAUUGGUUUAAAGUUUUUUCUGAUUGACUUGUGCUGCUG
RNAcentral lists this long non-coding RNA (17035 nucleotides) under Pelobates cultripes (western spadefoot toad). The record is from RNAcentral. Lineage: Eukaryota; Metazoa; Chordata; Amphibia; Anura; Pelobatidae.